This 300-nucleotide ribosomal RNA is filed under the name uncultured bacterium. RNAcentral's name for it is "bacterial SSU rRNA". It matches the Rfam family "Bacterial small subunit ribosomal RNA", at positions 28 to 326 of the family's 1533-position model. The record is from RNAcentral.
GACGAACGCUGGCGGCGUGCUUAACACAUGCAAGUCGAGCGGUAAGGCCCUUUCGGGGGUACACGAGCGGCGAACGAGUGAGUAACACGUGGGUGACCUGCCCUUAGCUCUGGGAUAAGCCUGGGGAAACUGGGGUCUAAUACCGGAUAUGACUCCAUAACGCAUGUUGGUGGGGUGGAAAGCCUUGUGCGGCUAGGGAUGGGCCCGCGGCCUAUCAGCUUGUUGGUGGGGUGANGGCCUACCAAGGCGACGACGGGUAGCCGGCCUGAGAGGGCGACCGGCCACACUGGGACUGAGACA